This 706-nucleotide ribosomal RNA is filed under the name Pseudomonas sp. P664. RNAcentral's name for it is "bacterial SSU rRNA". It matches the Rfam family "Bacterial small subunit ribosomal RNA", at positions 54 to 755 of the family's 1533-position model. Lineage: Bacteria; Pseudomonadati; Pseudomonadota; Gammaproteobacteria; Pseudomonadales; Pseudomonadaceae. The record is from RNAcentral.
CAUGCAAGUCGAGCGGCAGCGGGUCCUUCGGGAUGCCGGCGAGCGGCGGACGGGUGAGUAAUGCCUAGGAAUCUGCCUGGUAGUGGGGGAUAACUCGGGGAAACUCGAGCUAAUACCGCAUACGUCCUACGGGAGAAAGCGGGGGAUCUUCGGACCUCGCGCUACCAGAUGAGCCUAGGUCGGAUUAGCUAGUUGGUGAGGUAAAGGCUCACCAAGGCGACGAUCCGUAGCUGGUCUGAGAGGAUGAUCAGCCACACUGGAACUGAGACACGGUCCAGACUCCUACGGGAGGCAGCAGUGGGGAAUAUUGGACAAUGGGCGAAAGCCUGAUCCAGCCAUGCCGCGUGUGUGAAGAAGGUCUUCGGAUUGUAAAGCACUUUAAGUUGGGAGGAAGGGCAGUAAGCUAAUACCUUGCUGUUUUGACGUUACCGACAGAAUAAGCACCGGCUAACUUCGUGCCAGCAGCCGCGGUAAUACGAAGGGUGCAAGCGUUAAUCGGAAUUACUGGGCGUAAAGCGCGCGUAGGUGGUUUGAUAAGUUGGAUGUGAAAGCCCCGGGCUCAACCUGGGAAUUGCAUCCAAAACUGUCUGACUAGAGUAUGGCAGAGGGUGGUGGAAUUUCCUGUGUAGCGGUGAAAUGCGUAGAUAUAGGAAGGAACACCAGUGGCGAAGGCGACCACCUGGGCUAAUACUGACACUGAGGUGCG